AGACCCGAAACCCGGUGAUCUAGCCAUGGGCAGGUUGAAGGUUGGGUAACACUAACUGGAGGACCGAACCGACUAAUGUUGAAAAAUUAGCGGAUGACCUGUGGCUGGGGGUGAAAGGCCAAUCAAACCGGGAGAUAGCUGGUUCUCCCCGAAAGCUAUUUAGGUAGCGCCUCGUGAAUUCAUCUCCGGGGGUAGAGCACUGUUUCGGCUAGGGGGCCAUCCCGGCUUACCAACCCGAUGCAAACUGCGAAUACCGGAGAAUGUUAUCACGGGAGACACACGGCGGGUGCUAACGUCCGUCGUGAAGAGGGAAACAACCCAGACCGCCAGCUAAGGUCCCAAAGUCAUGGUUAAGUGGGAAACGAUGUGGGAAGGCCCAGACAGCCAGGAUGUUGGCUUAGAAGCAGCCAUCAUUUAAAGAAAGCGUAAUAGCUCACUGGUCGAGUCGGCCUGCGCGGAAGAUGUAACGGGGCUAAACCAUGCACCGAAGCUGCGGCAGCGAACGUAUCACCCAAGACAACUUUACGGAGUUGACGAUUGACGGAGCGAAGCGACGUCAAAGCGUU
RNAcentral lists this ribosomal RNA (566 nucleotides) under Salmonella enterica. RNAcentral's name for it is "partial 23S ribosomal RNA". It matches the Rfam family "Bacterial large subunit ribosomal RNA", at positions 711 to 1251 of the family's 2925-position model. The record is from RNAcentral. RNAcentral also lists the same sequence under 2 other names. Lineage: Bacteria; Pseudomonadati; Pseudomonadota; Gammaproteobacteria; Enterobacterales; Enterobacteriaceae.